This 392-nucleotide ribosomal RNA is filed under the name uncultured bacterium. RNAcentral describes it as "partial 16S ribosomal RNA". It matches the Rfam family "Bacterial small subunit ribosomal RNA", at positions 523 to 918 of the family's 1533-position model. The record is from RNAcentral.
AUACGUAGGGGGCGAGCGUUGUCCGGAUUUAUUGGGUUUAAAGGGUGCGCAGGCGGCCAUUUAAGUCAGCGGUUAAAUCGUGGGGCUCAACCCCAUUCUGCCGUUGAUACUGGGUGGCUUGAUUGCGGUCGAGGUUGGCGGAAUUCGUUGUGUAGAGGUGAAAUGCAUAGAUAUGACGAAGAACACCGAUUGCGUAGGCAGCUGACCAGACCGCAAAUGACGCUCAUGCACGAAAGUGCGGGGAUCGAACAGGAUUAGAUACCCUGGUAGUCCGCACAGUAAACGAUGAAUACUUGUUUUCGGCGAUAUAAUGUCGGAGGCAAAGCGAAAGCGAUAAGUAUUCCACCUGGGGAGUACGCCGGCAACGGUGAAACUCAAAGGAAUUGGCGGGG